UACGAAGGGGGCAAGCGUUGUUCGGAAUUACUGGGCGUAAAGGGCGCGUAGGCGGUGCUCUAAGUCAGGUGUGAAAGCCCUGGGCUCAACCCAGGAUGUGCACUUGAUACUGCGCGGCUAGAGUGUCGGAGAGGAUGGUGGAAUUCCCAGUGUAGAGGUGAAAUGCGUAGAUAUCCGGAGGAACACCGGUGGCGAAGGCGGCUUCCUGGACCGACACUGACGCUGAGGCGCGAAAGCUAGGGGAGCAAACGGG
RNAcentral lists this ribosomal RNA (253 nucleotides) under uncultured bacterium. Its description in RNAcentral is "partial 16S ribosomal RNA". It matches the Rfam family "Bacterial small subunit ribosomal RNA", at positions 524 to 776 of the family's 1533-position model. The record is from RNAcentral.